Molecule: ribosomal RNA, 253 nt
Filed under: uncultured bacterium
Lineage: Bacteria
Description: partial 16S ribosomal RNA
Rfam family: Bacterial small subunit ribosomal RNA
Source: RNAcentral
UACGUAGGGUGCGAGCGUUGUCCGGAAUUAUUGGGCGUAAAGAGCUCGUAGGCGGUGUGUCGCGUCGGCCGUGAAAACCUGGGGCUCAACUCUGGGCGUGCGGUCGAUACGGGCAGACUGGAGGUAUGCAGGGGAGAACGGAAUUCCUGGUGUAGCGGUGAAAUGCGCAGAUAUCAGGAGGAACACCGGUGGCGAAGGCGGUUCUCUGGGCAUGACCUGACGCUGAGGAGCGAAAGUGUGGGGAGCGAACAGG